AGUGGCACUGGAGUUUGGGUCUGAGGAGCCUAGACACUCGGAGGCAGCAGACUCGCCGAGAUCCAGCACCGUCCACAUACUGUCCCAGUUGCUGAGACUCCGCCAGUGUUGCUGUCAUCUUUCUUUACUGAAGUCGGCCCUGGAUCCAAUGGAACUGAAGGGUGAAGGUCUCGUCCUUUCCCUGGAAGAACAGCUCAGUGCUUUGACCUUGUCAGAACUCCGUGACUCAGAGCCAUCUUCCACUGUUUCCCUUAACGGCACCUUCUUCAAGAUGGAGCUUUUUGAAGGCAUGCGAGAGAGCACCAAGGUACUUUUUGUCUCCUCUGUAGUAGUCGAGAGACUUCGAUUCCUCACACAUUUUCCUGUGUGACAGCACCU
RNAcentral lists this long non-coding RNA (378 nucleotides) under Pan troglodytes (chimpanzee). Its description in RNAcentral is "long non-coding RNA NONPTRT001231". Lineage: Eukaryota; Metazoa; Chordata; Mammalia; Primates; Hominidae. The record is from RNAcentral.